RNAcentral lists this ribosomal RNA (1554 nucleotides) under Triticum aestivum (bread wheat). Its description in RNAcentral is "partial small subunit ribosomal RNA". Lineage: Eukaryota; Viridiplantae; Streptophyta; Magnoliopsida; Poales; Poaceae. The record is from RNAcentral.
AUGGCGGCGGCGGCAGUUCGUGAGCCGCAACAGCUUCUAUCCAUCCCCCAUCCAAGUACCGGCGUCGGCCACGCCUCCAACUCCAGCAAGACAGUGCCAAUAUCAACCACGCCGCCGGCUCCGGCAAAUGCGAAGCGACUGAUUGGCCGGAAAUUCAGUGAUGCGUCUGUGCAAGGAGAUAUCAAGCUAUGGUCUUUCAAAGUCAUUUCAGGCCCUGCUGACCGACCGAUGAUGGCGGUUCAGUACGGGGGUGAGGAGAAGCAUUUCACGGCAGAAGAGAUCUCCUCCAUGAUACUCGUUAAGAUGAAGGAGACUGCCGAGGCCUACCUCGGCACGUCGGUGAAGAAUGUCGUCAUAACUGUCCCUGUCUACUUCAACGACUCCCAACGCCAAGCCACCAUUGACGCCGGUGCGAUUGCUGGCCUCAACGUCAUGCGCAUCAUCAACGAGCCCUCCGCAGCAGCCAUUGCCUACGGCCUUGACAAGAUGCCCUGCAGCGGUGAAGUGAAAACGGUACUCAUCUUUGAUCUCGGCGGCGGUACUAUGGAUGUCUCCAUCAUCAGUGUACAAAAUGGCGUCUUCACGGUCAAGGCCACGUCUGGUGACACCCAAAUGGGCGGGCAGGAUCUCAACAACCGGAUGGUGGAACACUUUGUGCAAGAUUUCCUCAAGAAGCACAGGAGUGACAUUAGAGGCAGCCCGAGGGCGCUGAUGCGGCUGAGGACGGCAUGCGAGAGGGCCAAGAGGAUGCUGUCCUCCGCGGUUGAGGCCAAAUUCGAGAUCGACUCGCUGCACGACAGCAUUGACUACUAUGGGAGGAUCACUCGUGCCCGUUUCGAGGAGCUCAACAUGGACCUCUUCCGCAAGUGCAUCAAGCACGUCGAGAAAUGCCUCAGCGAUGCCAAGAUGGACAAGUCUCAGAUCCAUGACGUCGUGCUCGUGGGCGGCUCCACCCGGAUCCCCAAGGUGCAGCAGCUGCUCCAGGAUUUCUUUGAUGGGAAGACGCUCUGCAAGAGCAUCAACCCCGACGAGGCCGUCGCCUACGGCGCCGCGGUCCAAGCUGCCGCCCUCAGCGGCGAGUGUGACCGCAAGGGGCAGGACUUCCUCCUGCUGGACGUCACUCCACUCUCGCUUGGGGUCGAGGUAUAUGACUGGCGAGUGGACCAUUAUAUACCUGGUGUCAUGAGCGUGCUGGUUCCCCGGAACACCACCAUCCCUCUUAAGAGGGAGGGGCGAUACACGAGUGGAUUCGACAACCAGACGAGCGUGCUCAUCAAGGUGUACGAGGGUGAAGGGGAAUGGACCAAGGACAACAGGCUUCUGGGAGAGUUCAUGCUCGAGGGCCUCGUCCCGGCGCCAAGGGGCGUGCCGAAGAUCAUUGAAAUGAUGGAAGUCGAAGCGAACGGCAUCCUGAAGGUGACGGCGGUGGACAUGACAACCGGGAGCAAGAAGAGCAUCAACAUCACGACCAACAAGGGCGGGCUGAGCAAGGAGGAUAUCGAACGCAUGGUGAAGGACGCCGAGAAGUAUAGGUCGAGGACAGGAAGAGGAUAA